This 1445-nucleotide ribosomal RNA is filed under the name uncultured organism. RNAcentral's name for it is "bacterial SSU rRNA". It matches the Rfam family "Bacterial small subunit ribosomal RNA". The record is from RNAcentral.
AAUACAUGCAAGUCGCGCGAGAAAGUCACCUUCGGGUGGUGAGUAAAGCGGCGAACGGGUGAGUAACACGUAAGAAACCUGCCCCUAAAUCCGGAAUAACAUUGCUAACGCGGUGCUAAUACCGGAUGUGGUCUCCAGUUUGCAUGAACAGGAGAUUAAAGGUGACCUCUACUUGUAAGUUAUCGUUUAGGGAUGGUCUUGCGGACCAUUAGCUUGUUGGCGGGGUAACGGCCCACCAAUGCUGCGAUGGUUAGCCGGCUUAAGAGGGUGAUCGGCCACAUUGGGACUGAGAUACGGCCCAGACUCCUACGGGAGGCAGCAGUAGGGAAUUUUGCGCAAUGGACGAAAGUCUGACGCAGCAACGCCGCGUGAGCGAUGAAGGUUUUCGGAUUGUAAAGCUCUGUUGAGUGGGAAGAAAACUCUCCGGGAUAAUACCCCGGAGACUUGACGGUACCACUCGAGGAAGCCCCGGCUAAAUACGUGCCAGCAGCCGCGGUAAUACGUAUGGGGCAAGCGUUGUUCGGAAUCACUGGGCGUAAAGGAAGUGUAGGCGGAAAGGUAAGUUAGAAGUGUAAUCCACGGGCUUAACCCGUGACUCGCUUUUAAUACUGUCGGUCUUGAGUAUGGGAGAGGGAGAUGGAAUUCCAGGUGUAGCGGUGGAAUGCGUAGAUAUCUGGAAGAACACCAGUUGCGAAGGCGGUCUCCUGGACCAAUACUGACGCUGAUGCUCGAAAGCUGGGGGAGCGAACAGGAUUAGAUACCCUGGUAGUCCCAGCCGUAAACGAUGGACACUAGUUGCCGGAGGAGUCAAUCCCUUCGGUGACGAAGCUAACGCAUUAAGUGUCCCGCCUGGGGAGUACGCUCGCAAGGGUGAAACUCAAAGGACUUGACGGGGGCCCGUACAAGCGGUGGAGCAUGUGCUUUAAUUCGAUGCAACGCGAAGAACCUUACCUGGGUUUGACAUGGGGGUGAAAGUUUCCAGAGAUGGAAGCCUUUCCUUCGGGUACACCCCACACAGGUGCUGCAUGGUUGUCGUCAGCUCGUGUCGUGAGAUGUUGGGUUAAGUCCCGUUACGAGCGCAACCCCUGCCCUUAGUUGCCAUCAGGUAUAGCUGGGAACUCUAAGGGGACAGCUUGGUAUAACCAGGAGGAAGGUGGGGAUGUACGUCAAAUCAUCAUGGCUCUUACGCCCAGGGCUAGACACGUGCUACAAUGGCAGGUACAGUGGGAUGCCAGCCUGCGAAGGUGAGCUAAUCCCGUAAAACCUGUCUCAGUCCGGAUUGGAGUCUGCAACUCGACUCCAUGAAGUUGGAAUCGCUAGUAAGUCGCGGAUCAGCAUGCCGCGGUGAUACGUUCCCGGGCCUUGUACACACCGCCCGUCAAGCCAUGAAAGGCGGUAGUACCCGAAGUCGCGUACCCAACCGUAAGGAGGGAAGCGCCGAAGGU